Cordylochernes scorpioides is the source of this 73-nucleotide non-coding RNA. NCBI's taxonomy places the organism in Eukaryota, Metazoa, Arthropoda, Arachnida, Pseudoscorpiones, Chernetidae. The record is from the annotation of a GenBank genome assembly.
UCCAGGGUAGCCAAGUGGACAUGGCACCUGCCCGGUAAGCAGAAGGUUGUGGGUUCGAUUCCCGCCCCUGGGC